Molecule: ribosomal RNA, 479 nt
Filed under: uncultured bacterium
Lineage: Bacteria
Description: bacterial SSU rRNA
Rfam family: Bacterial small subunit ribosomal RNA
Source: RNAcentral
CUUGGUUCAGGACGAACGCUGGCGGCGUGCUUCAUACAUGCAAGUCGAACGAUAAGGUUCCUUCGGGAAUACAUAAGUGGCGGACGGGUGAGUAAUAUGUAGAGAAUCUGCCCUGAAGAGGGGGACAACAGAGGGAAACUUCUGCUAAUACCCCAUAUGCGCGUAGUUGAGAUACUAUUCGUGAAAGAUUUAUCGCUUCAGGAUGAGUCUGCAUCUGAUUAGCUAGUUGGGGGUGUAAUGGACCACCAAGGCGACGAUCAGUAGCUGGUUUGAGAGGAUGAUCAGCCACAAUGGGACUGAGACACGGCCCAUACUCCUACGGGAGGCAGCAGUAGGGAAUUUUGCGCAAUGGGCGAAAGCCUGACGCCAGCAACGCCGCGUGAUCGCAGACGGCCUUCGGGUUGUAAAGAUCUGUCAGUAGGGACGAAAAUGACUGUACCUACAGAGGAAGCACCGGCUAACUCCGUGCCAGCAGCCGC